This 497-nucleotide ribosomal RNA is filed under the name uncultured bacterium. RNAcentral's name for it is "partial 16S ribosomal RNA". It matches the Rfam family "Bacterial small subunit ribosomal RNA", at positions 28 to 507 of the family's 1533-position model. The record is from RNAcentral.
GACGAACGCUGGCGGCGUGCCUAAUACAUGCAAGUUGAGCGACGAAGAUUGGUGCUUGCCCCAAUUUGAAGAGCAGCGAACGGGUGAGUAACGCGUGGGGAAUCUGCCUUUGAGCGGGGGACAACAUUUGGAAACGAAUGCUAAUACCGCAUAACAACUUUAAACAUAAGUUUUAAGUUUGAAAGAUGCAAUUGCAUCACUCAAAGAUGAUCCCGCGUUGUAUUAGCUAGUUGGUGAGGUAAAGGCUCACCAAGGCGAUGAUACAUAGCCGACCUGAGAGGGUGAUCGGCCACAUUGGGACUGAGACACGGCCCAAACUCCUACGGGAGGCAGCAGUAGGGAAUCUUCGGCAAUGGACGAAAGUCUGACCGAGCAACGCCGCGUGAGUGAAGAAGGGUUUCGGAUCGUAAAACUCUGUUGGUAGAGAAGAACGUUGGUGAGAGUGGAAAGCUCAUCAAGUGACGGUAACUACCCAGAAAGGGACGGCUAACUACGUG